GAUGAACGCUGGCGGCGUGCCUAAUACAUGCAAGUCGAGCGAACGGACGAGAAGCUUGCUUCUCUGAUGUUAGCGGCGGACGGGUGAGUAACACGUGGAUAACCUACCUAUAAGACUGGGAUAACUUCGGGAAACCGGAGCUAAUACCGGAUAAUAUUUUGAACCGCAUGGUUCAAAAGUGAAAGACGGUCUUGCUGUCACUUAUAGAUGGAUCCGCGCUGCAUUAGCUAGUUGGUAAGGUAACGGCUUACCAAGGCAACGAUGCAUAGCCGACCUGAGAGGGUGAACGGCCACACUGGAACUGAGCCGCGGUCCAGACUCCUACGGGAGGCAGCAGUAGGGAAGCUUCCGCAAUGGUCGAAAGCCUGACGGAGCAACGCCGCGUGAGUGAUGAAGGUCUUCGGAUCGUAAAACUCUGUUAUUAGGGAAGAACAUAUGUGUAAGUAACUGUGCACAUCUUGACGGUACCUAAUCAGAAAGCCACGGCUAACUACGUG
Molecule: ribosomal RNA, 497 nt
Filed under: uncultured bacterium
Lineage: Bacteria
Description: partial 16S ribosomal RNA
Rfam family: Bacterial small subunit ribosomal RNA
Source: RNAcentral